Molecule: transfer RNA, 83 nt
Filed under: Ornithorhynchus anatinus (platypus)
Lineage: Eukaryota; Metazoa; Chordata; Mammalia; Monotremata; Ornithorhynchidae
Rfam family: tRNA
About the family: Transfer RNA (tRNA) molecules are approximately 80 nucleotides in length.
Source: Rfam by way of RNAcentral
AGCAGCGUGGCCUAGUGGAAAGGCACAGGCCUGAGAGUCAGAGGAUUUGGGUUCUAAUCCUGGUUCUAAUCCUGGCUCUGCCA